GUUGUGGCUCAGUGGUGGAAUGCUCGCCUAGCAUGUGCGAGGCCCUGGGUUCGAUCCUCAGUACGACA
This 68-nucleotide transfer RNA is filed under the name Marmota monax (woodchuck). Its description in RNAcentral is "tRNA.Ala". Lineage: Eukaryota; Metazoa; Chordata; Mammalia; Rodentia; Sciuridae. The record is from RNAcentral.